RNAcentral lists this ribosomal RNA (399 nucleotides) under uncultured Escherichia sp. RNAcentral's name for it is "bacterial SSU rRNA". It matches the Rfam family "Bacterial small subunit ribosomal RNA", at positions 30 to 423 of the family's 1533-position model. Lineage: Bacteria; Pseudomonadati; Pseudomonadota; Gammaproteobacteria; Enterobacterales; Enterobacteriaceae. The record is from RNAcentral.
AUUGAACGCUGGCGGCAGGCCUAACACAUGCAAGUCGAACGGUAGCAGGAAGCAGCUUGCUGCUUCGCUGACGAGUGGCGGACGGGUGAGUAAUGUCUGGGAAGCUGCCUGAUGGAGGGGGAUAACUACUGGAAACGGUAGCUAAUACCGCAUAAUGUCGCAAGACCAAAGAGGGGGACCUUCGGGCCUCUUGCCAUCGGAUGUGCCCAGAUGGGAUUAGCUUGUUGGUGGGGUAACGGCUCACCAAUGCGACGAUCCCUAGCUGGUCUGAGAGGAUGACCAGCCACACUGGAACUGAGACACGGUCCAGACUCCUACGGGAGGCAGCAGUGGGGAAUAUUGCACAAUGGGCGCAAGCCUGAUGCAGCCAUGCCGCGUGUAUGAAGAAGGCCUUCGGGU